Molecule: ribosomal RNA, 322 nt
Filed under: uncultured eukaryote
Lineage: Eukaryota
Description: partial 18S ribosomal RNA
Rfam family: Eukaryotic small subunit ribosomal RNA
Source: RNAcentral
CCCUUAGAUGUUCUGGGCCGCACGCGUGCUACACUGAGUGGAUCAGCGGGUCAGGUUGCGCGAAAGCGUUUCCUAAUCUUUAAAUCCGCUCGUGAUGGGGAUUGACGGUUGCAAUUUUCUGUCAUGAACGAGGAAUACCUAGUAAGCGCGGGUCAUCAUCCCGCGCUGAAUACGUCCCUGCCCUUUGUACACACCGCCCGUCGCUCCUACCGAUUGAGUGGUCCGGUGAGGCUUUGGGAUCUGAGCGGAAAGAGCGUUUCGCUGUUUCUGCUCGGAAAACUCAGUCGAACCUUAUCAUUUAGAGGAAGGAGAAGUCGUAACA